Long non-coding RNA from Zingiber officinale, 2755 nucleotides. RefSeq lists it as uncharacterized. The record is from RefSeq and is a predicted model, not a curated record. Lineage: Eukaryota; Viridiplantae; Streptophyta; Magnoliopsida; Zingiberales; Zingiberaceae. The transcript has 2 exons.
GAGAGAAGAGGAGGAGCUUGGCCUCGUCAAUUGUGCGCUUUUGUAUCCGGUGGCAUUCGGCCAUGGUCCUCCACAUGCGUGCUAACCUACACCAACAAUGUGACCAGGAGAUCUUAUCACCGUUUGUAGAACAACAGUGCAAUGCAUGAUUCCUCUAUUCCAUUGCUGCUACUUUCUUGGUCGUCAUUUAUUGAACUGGAAGAAGCUUGAAGGAACCUAAACGAAGAUGAGCGCGAAGAUGUUGAACGAAGCAAAGCAGCUGGGUUCAACAUUCUAAAAGCUGUACCAGAAGUUGGAACUUAGAAUUCAGUUUGAGGUAAUGCUCCAGAUCCCAGAGCUUGGAGAAACAAUCAAUAAAAGGAAAUCAUAGAUAGAAAUAAUAGAGUUAACAUUAUUACAUCCAAAUGGGGAAGAAGAUGGUUGAGCUGUGCUAACUUCCAGAAUCACAGAGAGCUCAUCAGCAAAAUUACAAAUUCUGGUGAAUUGAGCUUCCACAUCCUUCAUGACCUCUCCCAUGCUUAUUGGUCUUCUGUUCACAUACACAGUGAAACCAGGAGUUUCUUGCGGGCCAUUUCUAUUUCCACUAAUUCCUUGAUCAUUGUUGACCUCAAGUUCCACUGCAUUGCUAGUUUCUGACACUUCAGUAGUCUGCACACCUUGCGAUCUCAGUUCCUUUGUCUCAUUCACAUUAUCUUUCUUCCCGUCGGUUCCUGCUGCUCCUCCACCGGCAACCGUCUUGGCAAUACGCUUCGAAUAAAUUCUAGGAAUCUCUGAUUUAAUUGAUACAUUCCGAAUCUCCUCAUGAUCCUCAUCAUCGUCCUCUUCUUCCAGUUCAGGUAUCCCUUCUUGCUGUCGAACUUUCCUUAGCUGAUCAGAAUCCUCAUCAAGCAAGACAUCUUCUGAAUUGUUUCCGUAGGGAUAUCCAUAUGAAUUCAGAGAUGAGAAAGGGUUCCAAAAGAAGUCCAUCUGUGAAGCCUGAGGCGAUGCAGGUGGGUAUCUGGGUCUUGCGUAUGGAGAGGAGUAUGAUGAUCCCAUGGUUGCAGCCCCUGCAGGAGCAUAGCCAUCAAAACCAGAAUGACCUGUAGAAUAAUUAUACUCAGGUCUCACAGUUUCCACUGGCUCGGGCCAUUCCUCGACAGAAAUUGAUGGACUCCACCCUGCUUUCAUGUAAUGCACUGCAGAAAAAGUGUUUCUUCGAGAGUGGUUCUCUUGUGGUGCAAAUAAUUUCCUUGGAAUCAUGGCGAUAUCCGGGUGUACUUCUCUUACAGAUUGCGGUGGCAUUGGCGCUGUCGUGAAAGAAGCCAAGAAGAACUGAAGCUCAUCGUCAUCAACAUAACGACACAGAGCAACAGCAACUCCCUUCAGAGAUCGUAUAUACGCUACGUGCACAUAUGCAAGCUGGUUUCUCUGCUCGAUAGCUUGUUUGAUGAAAUUCUUCCUGUCAUGGCAAAGGCGAACGGCAUCCUCAUUCUCCAACUUUGAGGUAGAACAUCCCAUCUUCUGCAAACCUCCCUAAGAAUUUUUCAGGCCAGAGUCGAACCCAGACUCAAUACAGAAAAGCCAUCGAUGUUUGACAAAAGCUAUACGGUUCAGAAUCAGUUUCCGAUACAUCUGAAAAACAAAUUGGAAAAAACUCUGAGCAAACUAAUGCAAGAAAGGCAUAUUUUGAGGAGAAGGAACACAAGUGUUCUCGAUAGAAGCUAUCAGCUUUAUGGGCUUAGGAAGGGAAACCGUGUGCCAAGACAUCAGAUUCCAAGCUUGCUCCUCAAGUUAGCCACACAAACUUACAAGGAGAUGGCAGCGCCUACAGAACUCUGCUUAAUUUUAUUUCUACUGAAAUGAGGAGAAGAGAAGACAAAGAUCAUCUCGUCGUUGUCGUAUGCUUUUAGAGAAAUUUGAAAAUUCAGAUCAUCGUCAAACCUGAGUCAGGGCACUCGAGAGGAUGGGGAUGCCUGUGAGUUCAAGGAGCUGCCUCUAGCACACUGCUCGGAAUGAAGCUGUUCAUGUUAGGGAAAACCACACUGCUUGGUUGGAGACAAGCCUUUUAUGAAACAAAAGGAACCUUGUAGAGGAAGAAGGAGCUGCUGUUUAUUAUCUCUUCAUAAUUCACUGAAGCUGAACCUUCACGAGGAAGAAGAAUGACACAACACUUUGCCAAACUCACUUUCCUGCUAAUCCAUUGCAGCAAAGGAGAUAAAGAGUGCAAACCCAUUGGCAAGGUAAGAUUUGGUGUAAUCUGUGAUGGAUUAGUGAUACUGAUCUGGGACUUUAUGAGAUGCUCAGUGUUUUGCAACAUGGCUUGAAAGAUAGACAUGCGCUGGGAAUUUUAGAAAGAUAAAAAAAGGUUGGUCGUGGACAGAAAGCAAAAGGAAAGCAGGAGGUAAGAUGCGGCACCGUCCUCAAAUUGUUAAAAUAAAGUUUGCUGAUGCCACCAAAUUCUGGAUUCGUCCAAAGUGCCCUCAAAACUCAGCGAUUUCUCCUCUCGUUUCUUUACUCCUCAAGUCAAAAAAAAAAAAAAGCAUUUUGGGUCUUCACUGCUGAGGAUGAAGAUUAAUAUGAUGAUAUAUAUUGUAGAUAAGUCAACAGCAGGGAGGACCAAUAUUGUCAAAACGGCAUCUGUACUGGAAAGGUAUUCUAUAGAUUGUAGUAAAAAAGGAAAAAAGAAACUUCAGAUUGAAGGAAAAUAAUAGUGAUGUUGGGAUUAAUCUUUAUGCUCUGUCUAAUGCAAGGUAUGUGGAUUGAGGAAUGAAAGGAA